Molecule: ribosomal RNA, 497 nt
Filed under: uncultured bacterium
Lineage: Bacteria
Description: partial 16S ribosomal RNA
Rfam family: Bacterial small subunit ribosomal RNA
Source: RNAcentral
GAUGAACGCUGGCGGCGUGCCUAAUACAUGCAAGUCGAGCGAACGGACGAGAAGCUUGCUUCUCUGAUGUUAGCGGCGGACGGGUGAGUAACACGUGGAUAACCUACCUAUAAGACCGGGAUAACUUCGGGAAACCGGAUCUAAUACCGGAUGAUAUUUUGAACCGCAUGGUUCAAAAGUGAAAGACGGUCUUGCUGUCACUUAUAGAUGGAUCCGCGCUGCAUUAGCUAGUUGGUAAGGUAACGGCUUACCAAGGCAACGAUGCAUAGCCGACCUGAGAGGGUGAUCGGCCACACUGGAACUGAGACACGGUCCAGACUCCUACGGGAGGCAGCAGUAGGGAAUCUUCCGCAAUGGGCGAAAGCCUGACGGAGCAACGCCGCGUGAGUGAUGAAGGUCUUCGGAUCGUAAAACUCUGUUAUUAGGGAAGAACAUAUGUGUAAGUAACUGUGCACAUCUUGACGGUACCUAAUCAGAAAGCCACGGCUAACUACGUG